This 2826-nucleotide ribosomal RNA is filed under the name Escherichia coli. Its description in RNAcentral is "bacterial LSU rRNA". It matches the Rfam family "Bacterial large subunit ribosomal RNA". Lineage: Bacteria; Pseudomonadati; Pseudomonadota; Gammaproteobacteria; Enterobacterales; Enterobacteriaceae. The record is from RNAcentral.
ACUAAGCGUACACGGUGGAUGCCCUGGCAGUCAGAGGCGAUGAAGGACGUGCUAAUCUGCGAUAAGCGUCGGUAAGGUGAUAUGAACCGUUAUAACCGGCGAUUUCCGAAUGGGGAAACCCAGUGUGAUUCGUCACACUAUCAUUAACUGAAUCCAUAGGUUAAUGAGGCGAACCGGGGGAACUGAAACAUCUAAGUACCCCGAGGAAAAGAAAUCAACCGAGAUUCCCCCAGUAGCGGCGAGCGAACGGGGAGCAGCCCAGAGCCUGAAUCAGUGUGUGUGUUAGUGGAAGCGUCUGGAAAGGCGCGCGAUACAGGGUGACAGCCCCGUACACAAAAAUGCACAUGCUGUGAGCUCGAUGAGUAGGGCGGGACACGUGGUAUCCUGUCUGAAUAUGGGGGGACCAUCCUCCAAGGCUAAAUACUCCUGACUGACCGAUAGUGAACCAGUACCGUGAGGGAAAGGCGAAAAGAACCCCGGCGAGGGGAGUGAAAAAGAACCUGAAACCGUGUACGUACAAGCAGUGGGAGCCUCUUUAUGGGGUGACUGCGUACCUUUUGUAUAAUGGGUCAGCGACUUAUAUUCUGUAGCAAGGUUAACCGAAUAGGGGAGCCGAAGGGAAACCGAGUCUUAACUGGGCGUUAAGUUGCAGGGUAUAGACCCGAAACCCGGUGAUCUAGCCAUGGGCAGGUUGAAGGUUGGGUAACACUAACUGGAGGACCGAACCGACUAAUGUUGAAAAAUUAGCGGAUGACUUGUGGCUGGGGGUGAAAGGCCAAUCAAACCGGGAGAUAGCUGGUUCUCCCCGAAAGCUAUUUAGGUAGCGCCUCGUGAAUUCAUCUCCGGGGGUAGAGCACUGUUUCGGCAAGGGGGUCAUCCCGACUUACCAACCCGAUGCAAACUGCGAAUACCGGAGAAUGUUAUCACGGGAGACACACGGCGGGUGCUAACGUCCGUCGUGAAGAGGGAAACAACCCAGACCGCCAGCUAAGGUCCCAAAGUCAUGGUUAAGUGGGAAACGAUGUGGGAAGGCCCAGACAGCCAGGAUGUUGGCUUAGAAGCAGCCAUCAUUUAAAGAAAGCGUAAUAGCUCACUGGUCGAGUCGGCCUGCGCGGAAGAUGUAACGGGGCUAAACCAUGCACCGAAGCUGCAUGCUGGAGGUAUCAGAAGUGCGAAUGCUGACAUAAGUAACGAUAAAGCGGGUGAAAAGCCCGCUCGCCGGAAGACCAAGGGUUCCUGUCCAACGUUAAUCGGGGCAGGGUGAGUCGACCCCUAAGGCGAGGCCGAAAGGCGUAGUCGAUGGGAAACAGGUUAAUAUUCCUGUACUUGGUGUUACUGCGAAGGGGGGACGGAGAAGGCUAUGUUGGCCGGGCGACGGUUGUCCCGGUUUAAGCGUGUAGGCUGGUUUUCCAGGCAAAUCCGGAAAAUCAAGGCUGAGGCGUGAUGACGAGGCACUACGGUGCUGAAGCAACAAAUGCCCUGCUUCCAGGAAAAGCCUCUAAGCAUCAGGUAACAUCAAAUCGUACCCCAAACCGACACAGGUGGUCAGGUAGAGAAUACCAAGGCGCUUGAGAGAACUCGGGUGAAGGAACUAGGCAAAAUGGUGCCGUAACUUCGGGAGAAGGCACGCUGAUGCGUAGGUGAAGUCCCUUGCGGAUGGAGCUGAAAUCAGUCGAAGAUACCAGCUGGCUGCAACUGUUUAUUAAAAACACAGCACUGUGCAAACACGAAAGUGGACGUAUACGGUGUGACGCCUGCCCGGUGCCGGAAGGUUAAUUGAUGGGGUUAGCGGUAACGCGAAGCUCUUGAUCGAAGCCCCGGUAAACGGCGGCCGUAACUAUAACGGUCCUAAGGUAGCGAAAUUCCUUGUCGGGUAAGUUCCGACCUGCACGAAUGGCGUAAUGAUGGCCAGGCUGUCUCCACCCGAGACUCAGUGAAAUUGAACUCGCUGUGAAGAUGCAGUGUACCCGCGGCAAGACGGAAAGACCCCGUGAACCUUUACUAUAGCUUGACACUGAACAUUGAGCCUUGAUGUGUAGGAUAGGUGGGAGGCUUUGAAGUGUGGACGCCAGUCUGCAUGGAGCCGACCUUGAAAUACCACCCUUUAAUGUUUGAUGUUCUAACGUUGGCCCGUUAUCCGGGUUGCGGACAGUGUCUGGUGGGUAGUUUGACUGGGGCGGUCUCCUCCUAAAGAGUAACGGAGGAGCACGAAGGUUGGCUAAUCCUGGUCGGACAUCAGGAGGUUAGUGCAAUGGCAUAAGCCAGCUUGACUGCGAGCGUGACGGCGCGAGCAGGUGCGAAAGCAGGUCAUAGUGAUCCGGUGGUUCUGAAUGGAAGGGCCAUCGCUCAACGGAUAAAAGGUACUCCGGGGAUAACAGGCUGAUACCGCCCAAGAGUUCAUAUCGACGGCGGUGUUUGGCACCUCGAUGUCGGCUCAUCACAUCCUGGGGCUGAAGUAGGUCCCAAGGGUAUGGCUGUUCGCCAUUUAAAGUGGUACGCGAGCUGGGUUUAGAACGUCGUGAGACAGUUCGGUCCCUAUCUGCCGUGGGCGCUGGAGAACUGAGGGGGGCUGCUCCUAGUACGAGAGGACCGGAGUGGACGCAUCACUGGUGUUCGGGUUGUCAUGCCAAUGGCACUGCCCGGUAGCUAAAUGCGGAAGAGAUAAGUGCUGAAAGCAUCUAAGCACGAAACUUGCCCCGAGAUGAGUUCUCCCUGACUCCUUGAGAGUCCUGAAGGAACGUUGAAGACGACGACGUUGAUAGGCCGGGUGUGUAAGCGCAGCGAUGCGUUGAGCUAACCGGUACUAAUGAACCGUGAGGCUUAACC